Molecule: long non-coding RNA, 1481 nt
Filed under: Lotus japonicus
Lineage: Eukaryota; Viridiplantae; Streptophyta; Magnoliopsida; Fabales; Fabaceae
Description: long non-coding RNA (LJAP_LNC000166)
Source: RNAcentral
GUGAGUGUAAUUGGGGUGUUAACGAAACUUUCAUUAGGUACACAAUGGAGAUCAAUGCUCUUGCUCGUGAGGCAUUGAUAAAUGCCAAUGGAGUAAUAGAGAACAAUUUCGCUCCAGGGAAACUCUCCAUCCUUCUAAGUUCAGUUGCCUAUGACCAGCACUGGCAGUUUGACUUGCAAGCUCUCCCUGCUGACCUCAUCCACAGGGGAUUGGCAGAGGAGGACCCAAAUGCUCCUCAUGGCUUAAAGCUAUCCAUAGAAGACUACCCUUAUGCCAAUGAUGGCCUCAUUCUCUGGGAUGCUAUCAAAAGUUGGGUCACUGACUAUGUGAACCAUUACUACUCAGAGCCAGAAACAAACACAGGUACAUGGAAAAUGGGGCGUUCGUCCACGAGAAAAAAUUCCUUAAAAUAUAAGGCUUAAACAAGUUUUUAGUUCUCUAAUUUACACUCAAAUUUGGUUUUGGUUCCUACCAUCUAAUUUUUAUGGUUUUGGUCCCUACUUUUACAUAUCAAUCUGGUUUCAGUCCCUCCUCCGUUAACUGGUAAUGUAAUUAGUUGAAGGUCACGUCAUCAUGGCCACGUGUCCAGAAUAAUCUUACAUGGCAUGUUUUGCUGGAAAGUCAGAUACGAUAGCUUGCACAGUGCACUUAUAAUAAAUGAAAUUCUUAUAGAUUGAAAAAUGAUAACCUUUCAUAUAGUGAUUUUUUUUAUAAAAUGAGCUUGUAAGUGUAUCUGAUUUGGAAGCAAAAUAUGCCAGAUGUGAUUACUCUGGACCAGACUUGUUAAUAGCUCGCUAUAGCGGCGCAAUAGCCUAUAGCGUAGCGCCCUAAGGGUCCCGCGGGUUCGGGCCCCACUGCCAUGCCUAAAAGUACCAAUCUUCUUUCAAUGAGUCUUCCACAGAGGUAGAGCCAACAAAUGCAGUCAAAUUGCUUUUAGGCCUCCAUUCUUUCUUCUUUGAUUUGUAAUUCCCAGACUGACAUGUCUUAGCCUUUGGAUAUCCAUGUAACCUAUAAUAGGUACGGCUUUCUUUUAUUUAUGCCUCAUUCCCACUUUCUCUUUAUUCCACUCACUUUCUCUUUCUAACUCUAUCUUCAAUUCCUAUCACUCAUCUUAUUGUUCAUUUCCUUCUAUGAGUGUGAGUGUAAUUGGGGUGUUAACGGAACUUUUUCAUUAGGUACACAAUGGAGAUCAAUGCUCUUGCUCGUGAGGCAUUGAUAAAUGCCAAUGGAGUAAUAGAGAACAAUUUCACUCCAGGGAACCUCUCCAUCCUUCUAAGUUCAGUUGCCUAUGACCAGCACUGGCAGUUUAACUUGCAAGCUCUCCCUGCUGACCUCAUCCACAGGGGAUUGGCAGAGGAGGACCCAAAUGCUCCUCAUGGCUUAAAGCUAUCCAUAGAAGACUACCCUUAUGCCAAUGAUGGCCUCAUUCUCUGGGAUGCUAUCAAAAGUUGGGUCACUGAUUAUGUGAACCAUUACUACUC